CUAUGAUCACCAAAGUUAAGCAACAUUGAGCCUGGUUAGUACCGAGAGGGGUGACUGCUUGGGAAUACCAGGUGCUGUAA
Acanthosepion pharaonis is the source of this 80-nucleotide non-coding RNA. The record is from the annotation of a GenBank genome assembly. NCBI's taxonomy places the organism in Eukaryota, Metazoa, Mollusca, Cephalopoda, Sepiida, Sepiidae.